AAAAAACAUAAAGCUAAAAUACUGAUAAAGAAAUGGACAUCUGCAAGAACUAUCGAAGUAGCAAAAAAUCUUCAUAUACCUCUCAAAUACAAGUCAAUCAAAAUCUCUCAAGGGUAAAAAGACCAGGAAAGCCAAAAAUAAAUCGGAGUACGAUAUUUUUCGAUAAGAACAUCCAAGCAACUAGAAUUCAGUAUCUACUUAAUCUUCUUCUUAGGCCUCAACUGGUUGCUGUGUCCACACUUCUUCUUGCGGCAGUUGACAGCACGAGGAUGCAACCGCGCAUAGCACUUGCGGCAUAUCAUCUUCUCCUGAUUGUAUUUCCUAGCCAAAGCCAUCAAAGAUGGCUCAAUGAUUCCACCACGAAGCCUCAGCACCAGAUGUAAAGUUGAUUCUUUCUGGAUGUUGUAGUCAGCCAAA
Molecule: unclassified non-coding RNA, 417 nt
Filed under: Hevea brasiliensis (rubber tree)
Lineage: Eukaryota; Viridiplantae; Streptophyta; Magnoliopsida; Malpighiales; Euphorbiaceae
Source: RNAcentral